RNAcentral lists this small nuclear RNA (144 nucleotides) under Fukomys damarensis (Damara mole-rat). RNAcentral describes it as "U1 spliceosomal RNA (ENSFDAG00000004177.1)". It matches the Rfam family "U1 spliceosomal RNA". Rfam says of the family: U1 is a small nuclear RNA (snRNA) component of the spliceosome (involved in pre-mRNA splicing). Its 5' end forms complementary base pairs with the 5' splice junction, thus defining the 5' donor site of an intron. There are significant differences in sequence and secondary structure between metazoan and yeast U1 snRNAs, the latter being much longer (568 nucleotides as compared to 164 nucleotides in human). The record is from RNAcentral. Lineage: Eukaryota; Metazoa; Chordata; Mammalia; Rodentia; Bathyergidae.
GUGCUUACCUGGUAGGGAAGAUACCAUGAUCAUGAAGGUGGUUUUCCCAGGGCAGCUUAUGCAUUGCACUGUUAGGUUAUUGCUCUUGUGGAAGUCUCCUUCAUAGUCAGGUCAUCCCUCUUCUGGAAGUUUCUUUGGGGUUAU